UCCGAGUUGUCCCCGGCGGUCCCCUUAGAGUCCCCGGCAUUACCCGCUGGCAACUAAGGGCAGGGGUUGCGCUCGUUGCGGCACUUAAGCCAACACCUCACGGCACGAGCUGACGACCUGCGUCAUCCCAUCUUUCGAUCGGGGCAGGACUAUACCUUCACCCGAUGUAUCGACCAUCGGGGCCGGCGUAUUGCACCACUCUUAGAUUUGGGAUCUCUCCCAAGAAGCGAUGCCAUUGCAGUCUCUACAGAGUGAACGACGUCAGCGAUCGCCGACGAUCUCAGUCAUCCACUUCCCUCGGUAUUGCCCUCGAACUCAACGGAUGUUGAUCGUUAGGGUUUCACCGAUAUGAGCCGGUGUUUCCUCAGGGGAUUGCUC
RNAcentral lists this unclassified non-coding RNA (378 nucleotides) under uncultured bacterium. RNAcentral's name for it is "contains 16S-23S intergenic spacer region". The record is from RNAcentral.